CCGAGUUUACAACUCCCAAAACCCCUGUGAACAUACCUUUAUGUUGCCUCGGCGGAUCAGCCCCGCGCCCCGUAAAACGGGACGGCCCCGCCGCAGGAAACCCUAAACUCUGUUUUUAGUGGAACUUCUGAGUAUAAAAAACAAAUAAAAUCAA
Molecule: unclassified non-coding RNA, 154 nt
Filed under: soil metagenome
Description: partial internal transcribed spacer 1
Source: RNAcentral